UACGGAGGCUGCAAGCGUUAUCCGGAUUCACUGGGUUUAAAGGGUGCGUAGGAGGGCAGGUAAGUCAGUGGUGAAAUCUCCAAGCUUAACUUGGAAACUGCCGUUGAUACUAUUUGUCUUGAAUACCGUGGAGGUGAGCGGAAUAUGUCAUGUAGCGGUGAAAUGCUUAGAUAUGACAUAGAACACCAAUUGCGAAGGCAGCUCGCUACACGAAUAUUGACUCUGAGGCACGAAAGCGUGGGGAUCAAACAGG
RNAcentral lists this ribosomal RNA (253 nucleotides) under uncultured bacterium. RNAcentral describes it as "partial 16S ribosomal RNA". It matches the Rfam family "Bacterial small subunit ribosomal RNA", at positions 524 to 776 of the family's 1533-position model. The record is from RNAcentral.